AUGUUCAAUGACUUUAUUGCCGAUCUCGGUCUCCGCGAGAUUGAUAGGAUUGGUGCCAGGUUCACCUGGACCAAUCGGCAGGCUUCCCCGACUAAGUCCGUCCUGGACAGGGUCCUAGUUUCCCCGGAUUGGGACCGCCGUUGUACCCUCGCGUCCCUUCGCGCCAUCACCCGGGUUGGCUCUGACCAUGUCCCGCUCCUUCUUUCCUCCACCGAUGAGCGCCCGCUGAUCACCCCAAGAUUCCGAUUUGAGACCUUCUGGCUUUCCCAAACCGGGUUCAUGGAGGCCGUCGGCGCGCACUGGGUGGAGGCCCGUGCUCCGUCACCCCCGUCCCCCUUGGCUAUUGAUUCGUGGCACUUCUGCGCCAAGCGUGGCCGACGGUUCAUGAAGGUAUGGGGCGCGAACUUGGGGCGUGACCUCCGCGAGCAUAAGAAGGCCCUGCUAGCCACCAUUCAGGCGCUCGACCUACGUGCGGAUGCGGUGGGGCUAUCUCCCGAUGAGUGGCUUUCCCGCUAUGACUUAGAAGAUCAGCUCUCCGUGAUCUACACGGAUGAAGAGGCCUACCGGCGCAUCCGUGGUGCCCAGAAGUGGGUUUUGAAGGGAGACGCGAACACGGCUUACUUUCAGGUGAUCGCGAAUGGCCGCCGCUGUGGCAACACCAUCCCCCUCUUGUAGGAUAGUGCCACCCUCCUUCAAGACUCGCGCGACAUCCGGACCCACGUUGAUGGGUUCUAUAGGUCUUUGUUCUCUGCCGCUCCUAGGAGCGCCCUCUCCCUGGCUCCUGACUGCUGGUCUGGCCCUCAGCUGGUUUCUGACACGGUGAACGCGGCCCUUACGACCCCCUUCUCCGAAAGCGAGGUUUGGGCUGCCAUUAGGGGCAUGAAUCCCACCUCGACGCCGGGUCCCGAUGGCCUCCCGGUGAAGUUCUUCCAGACCUUCUGGAACGUGAUUAAACCUGAGGUCAUGGCCAUCUUCGAAGAGUUCUACGUUGGAUCCAUUGACCUUGGUCGCCUUUACUUUGGGAUAAUCUCCCUCAUUCCCAAGGUGUCGGGCGCAUCUGACAUUCGCCAGUUUUGCCCGAUCACGGUCAUCAAAGUGAUUUUCCGGAUUCUUGCAAAAGGGUACGCCAAUAGGGUGACCCUUCUUGCAGAUCGCAUUACUCACCCCAACCAGUUGUGA
Molecule: ribosomal RNA, 1179 nt
Filed under: Triticum aestivum (bread wheat)
Lineage: Eukaryota; Viridiplantae; Streptophyta; Magnoliopsida; Poales; Poaceae
Description: partial small subunit ribosomal RNA
Source: RNAcentral